Molecule: long non-coding RNA, 1420 nt
Organism: Oenanthe melanoleuca
Lineage: Eukaryota; Metazoa; Chordata; Aves; Passeriformes; Muscicapidae
Exons: 2
Source: RefSeq, a predicted model, not a curated record
CAGAAUUAACAAUAGGCGCAGAAAGGAGAGGCAGAGACCAACAUCCCUCACGCCGCUCCAUCCCAGGGUGCUUCAACUAAAGCCAGGAGGGUUUUGCUUCGAUUCCCACAUUCUGGAGCCUAAGAUUUGGUGUGCACAGGGCCAGGAUGCAGCGUUGUCCCAGCAAAGCCAAGAAAAAAAAUGUCCCUUUUAGGAGAAGAGGCAAAAGCCUUUGGGAAUUCGUGGCUAAUUUUAGGCAUGGCAGAAGAUGGUGUGAGCAGAUGUGGAGCUCAAGCAUCUGUGCUUUCUUUUAAAAACCACCUGGAAACAGAAAGCCGUGUGGGGUCUCCAACAGCCCUUACCAGGCCAGAAGGCAAGGGGGGUCAAAUAGAAGAUAAAACACAUUAGAAGGAUAAAUACCCCCAGUUUUACAAUGCCAGACACCUAAACUAUACUGAGCUUUUGUCUGUGUUUCAGGGUGACUCUCUCCGUGUGCCCAGGUGAAGGAAUGGCCCCUCUACUGUCCCAGGAGCAGCUGAAUUCCUGCUGAAGGUUCCAGUUUUUAAAGGUUCCAACUCGAGGCACAAAGAACAUCCUACACCUGUGCCUUGCCUCACCUGUUAGUCCUUCCCGUUGUUCCUCCUGAAGGGGAGCUGUGCUUCCCUGCUCUCUGGAGAAGGCUCUGUCUGGCACCUGGCAGCAAGAGCAUAAUGGAUGAGCCAGAAACAUCCUGCACACACCCUCCAGGUGAGCCUGUGCCAGGCAGGGCCCCAUGUCCCAGCUCCCUCUGAGAAGGAACAGCCCUCCUGGGCCAGCUCAGCUCAGCAGGGACAGCAGAGGAUCUGCCUGUCUGGGGUCACCUGCUGAGCUCUCAGUCAGUGGACAGCCAGAGCUGGGAGAAAGCAUUCCCAGGAAUAGGCCAGCAAUGUCAGCAGAGAGCUGCAGGCUUCAGAGAUGCCUUAGGAGCAGCAGGUCACACACAGGUAUUUCAGGAUGGUCUUCUGCAGCAAUGGUGCAUUUGCUCCUCUUACAACAGCCACUAAUUCUCCUCCCUGGAAGGUGUGGAAAGCAAAUCAGUCACCAAGUGCUUGGGUUGUGCUCUCUGGGCUCUGGAAAUUCCCCACAGCAGCCCAUCACCCACACUAUAUGUAUCAGGCCCUCCUCCCCUCAGAGCUGCUCUGCUCCACUGCAAGAGGGAAAUCUUGGAACAAGCUUCUUUGUGCCUCCUCAUCAGUCUCAGGAUGAAGGAAUGCAGCUUGUGAGAGGUGCGAGGUCCUGCAGAAGCAGCAGACUGAACCUGAAGACUCCACAGGGCAACACACUGGCUGUAUAUUUUUAUCUGCACAGCAUUUGAUUACCAGCAGAUACAGAGCAAAUAAAAUUGUUCCAUCACACAUUAAAGAAAUAAAACAUGCUCCCAAAAGGACCAAUGUUCCCACCA